Molecule: transfer RNA, 73 nt
Filed under: Odocoileus virginianus texanus
Lineage: Eukaryota; Metazoa; Chordata; Mammalia; Artiodactyla; Cervidae
Also listed under: 5 other names
Rfam family: tRNA
About the family: Transfer RNA (tRNA) molecules are approximately 80 nucleotides in length. Their secondary structure includes four short double-helical elements and three loops (D, anti-codon, and T loops). Further hydrogen bonds mediate the characteristic L-shaped molecular structure. tRNAs have two regions of fundamental functional importance: the anti-codon, which is responsible for specific mRNA codon recognition, and the 3' end, to which the tRNAs corresponding amino acid is attached (by aminoacyl-tRNA synthetases). tRNAs cope with the degeneracy of the genetic code in two manners: having more than one tRNA (with a specific anti-codon) for a particular amino acid; and 'wobble' base-pairing, i.e. permitting non-standard base-pairing at the 3rd anti-codon position.
Source: Rfam by way of RNAcentral
UCUCUGGUGAUCUAGUGGUCAAGACUCUGCACUUCCACUGCAGGGGAUGCAGGUUAGAUCCCUGGUCUGGGAA